GGCCAGUGAGGACACAUCCAAUUUUGAAGCUGCCAGCACCUCACAUACUUACUAAUUAGUGACAAUUUGUACAUCCUUUGCUAUUAUUUACAUUUUUUUUUAUCAUGGCGGAAAUGAAAGACUGUACCUGGCAGCCCUGCACUACAAUGAAAACGCUGAGCGUACACAAGCCUACAUCCACUGGAAAGCCUCUGUAUAAACUGCAGUUCCCAAAGGCCAGGAAGGGAGAAUGCAGAGCAAAACCAGUAAAGACUGACCCCACAUUCCGCUACGUGGCCAACUUGAUGGACCUCAUCUUCGACCAAGUCUUUGUGGACCCUGCACCAUUAUGAGCGACCUGACAGGGAGGAGGUCAUCGCCGGGUAUGCUAC
Gymnodraco acuticeps is the source of this 371-nucleotide long non-coding RNA. RefSeq lists it as uncharacterized. The transcript is spliced from 3 exons. Lineage: Eukaryota; Metazoa; Chordata; Actinopteri; Perciformes; Bathydraconidae. The record is from RefSeq and is a predicted model, not a curated record.